Molecule: long non-coding RNA, 127 nt
Organism: Apodemus sylvaticus (European woodmouse)
Lineage: Eukaryota; Metazoa; Chordata; Mammalia; Rodentia; Muridae
Exons: 2
Source: RefSeq, a predicted model, not a curated record
GGACCUGGGUUCAGGUUAAGAGUACACAUCGCUCUUGCAGAGGACCUGGGUUCAGGUUAAGAGUACACAUCGCUCUUGCAGAGGACCUGGGUUCAGGUUAAGAGUACACAUCGCUCUUGCAGAGGAC